Tupaia belangeri chinensis (Chinese tree shrew) is the source of this 584-nucleotide long non-coding RNA. RefSeq lists it as uncharacterized. The transcript has 3 exons. The record is from RefSeq and is a predicted model, not a curated record. Lineage: Eukaryota; Metazoa; Chordata; Mammalia; Scandentia; Tupaiidae.
UCUAAUGGUCAAUUUUCUGAAUUUCCCCCACGAGGAGGGCUCAGUGCUUCUCUCCCAGUUGCUGGGUUUGGUGGGACAACAAAUGCGUGAAAACCGGGAAUAAUAGUAAUAAUAGGAAUAAUGGGACCAAAUCAAAGGGGAGAAUUGAUUCGUAAAAAUGAGAUUUUCUGUUUAGAGGGGCAAGAGGAACGCCUGCGGAUGAGGGCCAGCAGGUCAGGUGAGAGGGGCGAACCGGCAGAAGGUGGAUGGAGAGGAAGCUGCCCGGAGGCGGGCUGCCCACAGCGGCCGCAGAGGGAACCGGGAAUUUCUGGCACGGUGUAGGAAUGAUUUAGAACAAGCCAUUGAAUUUCUACCUCGCCGCUCUCUCUCUCGCUCGCUCGCUCUCGCUCUCACCCUCGCUCUGCGUUCUGUCCGGGAGGAGUACGGAGAAGCCAAUAGGAUGCGGGGUCUCUAAUGGAUGCAAAUGAUCAUGAAAAGACAGUGCAAAAUAUGAAACAACUCAUUUGCGGGGAAGUAAAUCACCGAAAACUGUUUAUGAACUGGCAUCCCUUCUUCGAAAUGUAAAGCGAGGACCUCUUUAACGG